RNAcentral lists this ribosomal RNA (550 nucleotides) under Enterococcus faecium. RNAcentral describes it as "bacterial SSU rRNA". It matches the Rfam family "Bacterial small subunit ribosomal RNA", at positions 184 to 720 of the family's 1533-position model. Lineage: Bacteria; Bacillati; Bacillota; Bacilli; Lactobacillales; Enterococcaceae. The record is from RNAcentral.
AACCGCAUGGUUUUGAUUUGAAAGGCGCUUUCGGGUGUCGCUGAUGGAUGGACCCGCGGUGCAUUAGCUAGUUGGUGAGGUAACGGCUCACCAAGGCCACGAUGCAUAGCCGACCUGAGAGGGUGAUCGGCCACAUUGGGACUGAGACACGGCCCAAACUCCUACGGGAGGCAGCAGUAGGGAAUCUUCGGCAAUGGACGAAAGUCUGACCGAGCAACGCCGCGUGAGUGAAGAAGGUUUUCGGAUCGUAAAACUCUGUUGUUAGAGAAGAACAAGGAUGAGAGUAACUGUUCAUCCCUUGACGGUAUCUAACCAGAAAGCCACGGCUAACUACGUGCCAGCAGCCGCGGUAAUACGUAGGUGGCAAGCGUUGUCCGGAUUUAUUGGGCGUAAAGCGAGCGCAGGCGGUUUCUUAAGUCUGAUGUGAAAGCCCCCGGCUCAACCGGGGAGGGUCAUUGGAAACUGGGAGACUUGAGUGCAGAAGAGGAGAGUGGAAUUCCAUGUGUAGCGGUGAAAUGCGUAGAUAUAUGGAGGAACACCAGUGGCGAAG